GACGAACGCUGGCGGCGUGCUUAACACAUGCAAGUCGAACGGGCCUUGUCUCCUUUUUUUUUGUGGGCGGGGUUAGUGGCGAACGGGAGCGUAACACGUGAGUAACCUUCCCCUCACUUUUGCUUAACCGCUCUAAGGGUUGUACAAUAUGGGAUCUCCUGCUCCGUUGGCGUGGUUGGGUUGGGACGGCUGUGAGGGAUUUUGUUGCGUCUGGUGGGGUUUGGGGUCGCGGCCUGUCAUCGCGUUGGUGGGGUGGGGGCCUGCCCAGGCGUUGUCGGGUAGCAAGGCUGAGAGGGUGGGCGGGCACACGGGGACUGAGACACGGACCAGGCUCCUACGGGAGGCAGCAGUGGGGAGUGUUGCAGAAGGGGCGCAAGCCUGAUGCAGCGACGCCGCGUGAGGGAUGGAGGCCGUCGGGUUGAGAACCUCUUUCGCCAGGGAAGAAGGUCCUGCUCGUUGUGGUGGGGUUGACGGUAGCUGGGUUAAUGAAGCGCCGGCUAACUACGUG
This 508-nucleotide ribosomal RNA is filed under the name uncultured bacterium. Its description in RNAcentral is "partial 16S ribosomal RNA". It matches the Rfam family "Bacterial small subunit ribosomal RNA", at positions 28 to 507 of the family's 1533-position model. The record is from RNAcentral.